UUAACCAGCAUUUUUGCCAUUUCACACAUUAUUUUCUUCCCUCUCAGGCUGAGGGAACUGAGCUGACAAAGACCCACAACUGGCUGCUCUGUCCAAAGGAGAAGCUUUGACAGAGGAAAUAAACAUACAACUCCCUGAGAACAUGAUUGAAGGAUCUGCCCGUGCUUCACUCUCUGUCCUCGGAGAAGCUUUGACAGAGGAAAUAAACAUACAACUCCUGAGAACAUGAUUGAAGGAUCUGCCCGUGCUUCACUCUCUGUCCUCGGUAACUAGCCGUAGUCUUUCUUUAACUAGUCAGAUUCAGACAGGUUAACAGACUUACCUCCCUCAUUAUGAAGGGCUUCAGUAAUACAAUUGCACUUGUGUAUAAAAACCAUUGCACUUUGCACUUUGCAGUCCAUUCUCAGUGUAUGUGUCCUGCAUGAAGUGAGUCAG
Larimichthys crocea (large yellow croaker) is the source of this 435-nucleotide long non-coding RNA. RefSeq lists it as uncharacterized. The record is from RefSeq and is a predicted model, not a curated record. The transcript is spliced from 3 exons. NCBI's taxonomy places the organism in Eukaryota, Metazoa, Chordata, Actinopteri, Sciaenidae.